RNAcentral lists this long non-coding RNA (525 nucleotides) under Triticum aestivum (bread wheat). RNAcentral describes it as "long non-coding RNA (TAES_LNC018247)". Lineage: Eukaryota; Viridiplantae; Streptophyta; Magnoliopsida; Poales; Poaceae. The record is from RNAcentral.
GUAUCCAUACACCAAAUGUAUCACACACCAACUCAUUCAUAUGCCCACACAUGAUAGCCAAGCCAAUACAUACAGUUAUUACCCACACACCAACUCAUUAAUCUUAAUCAAGCCACACAUAUUAAAUUAUUAUCCACACAGCAACUCAUAUACAUAUGCAUACACAAUGACCAAGCCACACACACACACACAUUAAAAUGCGCAUUUGUCAAGGGGCCAUGUCUCGACACACUGUAAAACCCCAUUGAACCUGUAAACGUUACCAGCUUCCACUGUGGCUUCGGCAACUUGCCCGCCAUAAUGCAGCCGUAGAACUGAACUAUUUCUGUUGUUAAACCACAGCACUGCUUCCUGGAGCUCCCCUUUCUCCCAGAAGAUGCUGACAGUGGUGUCACCCCGGGCCCUCAGCCCUUUGACACACCCUUCAGGCCACUUGUCGCGUGGAAGCGCGGGCAGUAGAUGCAGGUCAGCGGGAGUGCUCUGAAGCAACAUUUCAGCGAUCGCAGCUGAGAAUCUGCAGGACGG